RNAcentral lists this ribosomal RNA (277 nucleotides) under uncultured prokaryote. RNAcentral describes it as "partial 16S ribosomal RNA". It matches the Rfam family "Bacterial small subunit ribosomal RNA", at positions 524 to 801 of the family's 1533-position model. The record is from RNAcentral.
GACGAACCGUCCAAACGUUAUUCGGAAUUACUGGGCUUAAAGGGUGCGUAGGCGGCUCUGCAAGUUGGGUGUGAAAUCCCUCGGCUCAACCGAGGAAUGGCGCCCAAAACUGUGGAGCUCGAGGGAGACAGAGGUGAGUGGAACUUGUGGUGGAGCGGUGAAAUGCGUUGAUAUCACAAGGAACACCGGUGGCGAAAGCGGCUCACUGGGUCUCUUCUGACGCUGAGGCACGAAAGCUGGGGGAGCGAACGGGAUUAGAUACCCGGUAGUCCCUGAG